GCACCACAAGGGGUGAAGCUUGCGGUUUAAUUGGAGUCAACGCCGGAAAUCUCACCGGGAGCGACAGCAGAGUGAAGGCCAGAUUAAAGGUCUUGCCAGACAAGCUGAGAGGAGGUGCAUGGCCGUCGCCAGUUCGUGCCGUGAGGUGUCCUGUUAAGUCAGGCAACGAUCGAGACCCGCAUCCACUGUUGCUACUAGCCUUGUGCUGGGCACACUGUGGAGACCGCCACUGAUAAAGUGGAGGAAGGAGCGGGCCACGGCAGGUCAGUAUGCCCCGAAUCUCCCGGGCCACACGCGAGCUGCAAUGGCAGGUGCAAUGAGUUCCGACCUCGAAAGGGGAAGGCAAUCUCCGAAAGCCUGCCGUAGUCGGGAUCGAGGGUUGUACCCAUCCUCGUGAACAUGGAAUCCCUAGUAAUCGCGUGUCAUUAGCGCGCGGUGAAUACGUCCCUGCUCCUUGCACACACCGGCCCGUCNUUCCAUCCUGAAGCGACUCUUGGGUGAGGCGCCNGUCUUUCAUUGGCGGCGUUCGAAUCUAAGUUUUNUUAAGGAGGGAA
RNAcentral lists this ribosomal RNA (554 nucleotides) under uncultured archaeon WSB-2. Its description in RNAcentral is "bacterial SSU rRNA". It matches the Rfam family "Archaeal small subunit ribosomal RNA", at positions 876 to 1429 of the family's 1478-position model. The record is from RNAcentral.